Molecule: long non-coding RNA, 519 nt
Organism: Pezoporus flaviventris
Lineage: Eukaryota; Metazoa; Chordata; Aves; Psittaciformes; Psittacidae
Exons: 3
Source: RefSeq, a predicted model, not a curated record
ACUCAUGCCACUCUGAUCUCAUUGAAACAAAGAAAGAUAGAGAUGAGCCAGUUUUGCUUAUUUUACUCUUUAAGGGAGUACAAAAGAACUCAGGUCUUUGGAUUUUUGUUUGGUUUAAUUCUGGAUCACUAGCAGUGAUCAUACUAAGUCUUUAGGCCUUGAUCCUGCAGAAAUGCUUAAUACUUAACAUAAUAGGAAUAGUUCUUCCCUCUGCAGCUUCUGCUCUAUACGGGAAUUUGUAUUUUUUCCUUCAGGUGCUGUUCCAGCCAAGGAUGCAGUUCUUCCUGACAUAUUACAGAACCUCUCUGGUUUGCAGUUUCACUUACAAGUUGCCUGCAUGAAGCUGGGGAUGGAUUCUUCAGACACAGAGUGAGCAGUAAGUGGCACAGUGUUACUAAGUAGUUUGCUGCCUUGAUGUGAGGUGCUGCUUUCUGUGGAUUUGUCGUUCUGCUCCAAUGGGCCGCUGUUAUCAGAGUCUGAGGGCAGUCUGGUAUUGUUGACAUGUGUUUGAGUUCUUCU